This 683-nucleotide long non-coding RNA is filed under the name Ananas comosus (pineapple). Its description in RNAcentral is "long non-coding RNA (ACOM_LNC006783)". The record is from RNAcentral. Lineage: Eukaryota; Viridiplantae; Streptophyta; Magnoliopsida; Poales; Bromeliaceae.
AUUCAAUCUCAAAAAGCACGCAAUUAGGAUCCCUCAUGUUUUAAGAUUAAAGAAGAAAAACAAGAUCGAAUCUUUACCUUUUUCGCGGAUAGAUUUUCACCUCAAUUUGAUGAUCGUAGAAUCGGGUUCUCUUAAAGCCGCACACGCGUCCGGCCUCUAUAGGUAUCCACACGAGAUUCUUGAUUUGAUCAAUGUCCUCACCAGGGUGCUAGUUCCCUUACAAAGGACGUCUUUUUUUGCUAGAAUAUGGAAGAGAGAGAAGAAGAGAGAUGACGGCUAGAGUUUUCUAAAAACUCCCGUAUGUUAUAUAUAUAUAGAAAUAUAAUCCUAUUCCUAAUAAUAUAAUGACAAUUAAGGAUAUGUAUAAAUCUAGAUUUAAAUUUAUCAUUUCCUUAAUUAGUUAGAUUGAUCAAAUCCUAAUUUGAUUCGACUUGAAUUUUAUAUUAAUUUGAUCUUAUCAAAUUAAUAAUGCAAUAUUUGCACAUAAGUCCUCUUAUAAUUUACUAACUAUUAGUAAAUCCUCUCUUGUAACAUUUACACUUUAAUACCACUAAUUUGUAACAAUUACAAAUUAGUCCAAUUAUCAACAUAUUGACAAUUAGGUCCUCCGGCAAUUCAAUAAUCGCGAUUUAGCUAUCCGAUCAAUCACAACCUCUUAUGUGUGUGACCCCAUAGGUUCUAUU